CGCAACGUAGCUCCUGAGCCCAAGUGCGUGUAUGUGAUGUGUUUCAGACAGGAAGUGGUCUGAAGUAGCGCCACGUGGCGUUCAGAAGUUGGAGCUGACGGGCAGGAAAAGCGUACCCGUGAGGGCGGGGUCCGAGGCUAACCUGGUGUCGGCAAGCAAUAAGAAUAAACGCUCCUCCUUCAGACAAUCGCUCACCAUGUGCGGCGAGCGGGCGCAGGCCAGUCUGCUGAACCCUCUCCUGCGUCGCACGGCAUCUGUGAAGACCUCGCUGAGACGAGCCCCAUCCACACUCUUCAUCGAGCAUGGGAAGGUUUUCCAGAGGAGGAAGGAAUGGGAGACCAAAGCUGCUGCCUGAAGGCAACGCAACCGUGUGACGAAGUGACCGCGCACCAUGCGACCACGUGGCCAAGUGAUGUGACAAUGUGACUUCCCGAUGGGUAUUAUCUUUUCGGUCACGACUGUGACACCGACGCCUUUAACUUAUUUUUUGUUUUCUACACAAGGUAACAGACUUGAAUGGUUUCAUACGCAUCACUUUUUUGUUUAUGAAAUAUUUUUUUCUUUCUUUUUGAAUCUAAAUUUCAUCUUAGAGUAACAGUUGGAGGAAUAUAAAGUUUAUUGUUUUCAUCGAUCACAUCACAUUCAAUCAUCCACAUGAGCAACAACAGCAUUACAUCUCUGAAAUUGCCUUAUAAUAGAUGAAAUUGAUAAGAAUAAAUGCCAAUGAGCUAAGAGCA
Hippocampus comes (tiger tail seahorse) is the source of this 737-nucleotide long non-coding RNA. RefSeq lists it as uncharacterized. The record is from RefSeq and is a predicted model, not a curated record. NCBI's taxonomy places the organism in Eukaryota, Metazoa, Chordata, Actinopteri, Syngnathiformes, Syngnathidae. The transcript has 3 exons.